CCUACGGGUGGCAGCAGUGAGGAAUAUUGGUCAAUGGACGAGAGUCUGAACCAGCCAAGUAGCGUGAAGGAUGACUGCCCUAUGGGUUGUAAACUUCUUUUAUAUGGGAAUAAAAUGUUCCACGUGUGGGAGUUUGUAUGUACCAUAUGAAUAAGGAUCGGCUAACUCCGUGCCAGCAGCCGCGGUAAUACGGAGGAUCCGAGCGUUAUCCGGAUUGAUUGGGUUUAAAGGGAGUGUAGGCGGGUGAUUAAGUCAGUCGUGAAAGUUUGGGGCUCAACCGUAAAAUUGCAGUUGAAACUGGAAGUCUUGAGUACAGUAGAGGUGGGCGGAAUUCGUGGUGUAGCGGUGAAAUGCUUAGAUAUCACGAAGAACUCCGAUGGCGAAGGCAGCUUACUGGACUGCAACUGACACUGAGGCUCGAAAGUGUGGGUAUCAAACAGGAUUAGAUACCCUUGUAGUC
RNAcentral lists this ribosomal RNA (460 nucleotides) under uncultured bacterium. Its description in RNAcentral is "partial 16S ribosomal RNA". It matches the Rfam family "Bacterial small subunit ribosomal RNA", at positions 338 to 795 of the family's 1533-position model. The record is from RNAcentral.